Molecule: non-coding RNA, 1339 nt
Organism: Sus scrofa (pig)
Lineage: Eukaryota; Metazoa; Chordata; Mammalia; Artiodactyla; Suidae
Source: RefSeq, a predicted model, not a curated record
GUGUGGCUGUGGCUGUGGUGUAGGCUGGCAGUUGUAGCUCCUAUCUGCCCCUUAGCCUGGAAACUUCCACAUGCCAUGGGCGUGGCCUUAAAAAAAGCAAAAAGAGAGAGAGAGAAGGAUCCUAAACUUUUGACAGGGUGCCUCCUGAGAGCUGAAGUCACCCCUGGCGCUGGCUUGGAGUCUGAAUGCAGAGAAAGAGGCCCCUGUCCUUCAGUCCUUCACCAGGUGGGCAGGCACCACUCCCUUUUGGAACCCCUCGACUCCUGCCUACGGGGACCUGGAUGCUGUCCCUGGGUCUCCAUCACCCUCCCUGCAUUAGGACUGUGGAGUGUUCCCGAUGUCAGAGGUGCUCACUCUGGGUAGCACAGUGGCGGCAUCAGUGCGGAAGGCACUCUGGUCCCUGCAAGAGCUCAGCCCCUCCUGGGUCUCUGGGAUGCUCUGAGAAACCAUUGGCCACGGCCCAUGCUCGCCUCACAGGGCACCUGGGCUCCUGGGCACAGCAGCGGUCCAAGAGGGCAGUGCACCCUCCAUACCUACCGGGGCAAGAAGUGCUUUUGUCAAAGGUAACAUCCCAGGCGGCUCUCCUGGUACGUCUCCUGGUAUGUUAGCCUUCAUCCAGCACAGAGAGCGGAUUUGGUUUCAUGAUGCAUCGUCCUUUCCUCGUCUCCUGGCUUCCAUGUCAUUCCCGGAGCUUAACUGUGCAGCACGAAUGGGACUCGGAGCUGUCUCUCCAAGCCCCGGGGUCACUUGGCCCUGAUCACUUGCACUGACUCGAUCAGAAUGGACAGGUUUGACUUUUCCUGGAAUUCCAUCGCAUUCUUGGCUGGUGGGAUGGUGGCCCUCUGGCGGAUGAACAGGAAUUGAAGGGGAGGCGGUGGGGGUGACGCUCCAGGGUAGAAAAGAAGGGCUCAGCCCGCCUGGCCCUUCCGGCCUUUCGCUGCUGAGUCACCCCGUCGUUUGCUACUGGCUGAAAAGUUCAUGCUUCUUGGACUCAAGUGAAAGGACUUACUUUUUAAGCAGGAUUGUUAAAUGAGCUGUUUGCACCUUCAUGCAAUUGGGACAAAAUUUUAAAACUUCAUCACUUGGAAACAUGGGGAAUUUUCUUCCUGAGAAACGGAUGCAUGGCUCUACCAAGGAUUACCUAAACCAAGAUGGAGCUGGUCUGGGUGCCCCCCUCACCCCUCUUGACGAAUCACUCAGUGGAAUGAAGGAGAAUCACACACAAGAGGAUCAGGAAGAUACAACACAGAUUUAGUAGGAACUUUGUGAGAGUGAAAAUGCAGAGAGGCUGACAGGCCAGGAGGGAAAACACAGUGUGAAAUAAAUAGCAAGCAAAAGA